GUAAGAAACGACAAAAGACAACCCAGCAGAUUUUUUUGGGGGGGGAAAAAAAAGCUUUUUUGCAUGAGAAGUGACAAACACAAAUUUGAAAUAAAAAUGAAGAUUAAGUUGAUUGGAGCAAUUGAGGGGGUUCUACUGAAUUGGAAAAUCUCAAGAAACUGUACAGAAUGCUGUCCAAAGAGCCGGAAAGGAAGCACAGAAAACGGCAACAAAGCUGAGAAGCAGACAUGAAUAAGAUCUAGUGCGGGACCUGGAGCCCAGGAGGAGACGCGGCGACACCCGAGGAGGCGACCGAUGGUACAUUCCCACUGAACGAAUCCCAGCGGAUUCCAAGCAAGCUAUAAAACAACUCAUAUCUAGAGACUGAGGUGAAGUUCUUGCUUGAGCAGCUAAAUGUAAAAUGCAGAUAGACAUUAGAAACCAGCCCCGCUGGGUGACUUGUUACCAAGCCAGAAAACACUGGAGUUCUUACGCUGCAUCCUAUUAACAAAAGAAUGGUUAUCAUGGAAGCUGACACUUAUUAAAACUUUUUUUUUAAGAGGGCUAAUUAGAAAGGUUUUCAGACAAAAGCAGAGUUUGCACAGGUGGUAAUAAUACAGGGUUCAGGAGGCAGAAGGAAAACGAUCUUAUACGGAAAAUCAGAGGCAAGAAGGAACGUGGAACAACGUGGUGAAUAACGUUGGUAAGUUACCAUUAACUGUAAAAAAAAUAUAUAGUUUGUGGAAAGGAAAUAUGGACCACAAUUAAGGUGCUGGACAAUAGCACAUAACCUGGGGUGACCAGAACACUAAUGUCCAUGUUUUCAUAUUCAGGAGGAAAAUGAGCGUAUUGAGUAACUAUGACUUUUGUGAAACAUGUAUUAGCUAGAAUAACCACUAAAAAAAUAGAGCUUAUCACCUUGAAACAAAUAGAGAAGGAAGAAGGCAAGAAGCCGAUGGGGUCUCAGAUCCGGCCCUUCCUCUGAUGGGACAAUCUCAGCUUCCAGGGAAGGGGUUACAGGGAGGGGCGAAGAGCCUUCCUUUACAGGACAGUUCAGGGGCGCUGAGGGGCCUUCCUCUAGGACAGUUCAGGGGCGCUGAGGGGCCUUCCACUGGGACAGUUCAGGGACAGAGUGUGUUCAGAACAAGAACAGCCAGUGAAGUGUCAGAAGUGGCAGAGAGCAGGUCCAAGAUAAUCUCCAUCAAAGCAACGUUAAUAUUUAAAUAAAAAUUAUUUGCUGGCUUGUGUGUGGACGGGUCAACCUGAUAGAAAGACAAGAAGUUCAGGACAGAAUAUUUUUAUACCUUGCUGACGGAACUGCUGACUCCUGGAGUCCUUCAGGAUUUGGAACCUUAGUUUUACAUCAGAGGAAGAACAGUUAAAAUGAAAUGGAAUAAAAAAAUAACGAGUAUUGUGUCUAUACCCUCCAUGUUUCCAAACCCCAGAGCAAGACCGAAAUAAAUAGCAUAGAAGAUCAGAAGGAAAAAAUAAAUCCAAAAAUGAAACAUCAAGGCAAAUCCUACUCUCUGAGGCUCGUUAUUUCUCUUUGCCUUAGGAAACCAUGCAGCUUCUUUUUAAAGGAAAAAAAAAAAUUGCUCCCCAGCCAGAGAGUUCUCUAGUUUCAUCACCGGCAUUCUAGGAAAUGAACUCUCUAGUUCUUCUCGUCCUCUUUCAGGACCUACUUUCCCUUUUUAAAUACUGAUGUACCACCAGGGUUCAGAUUUAGCUUGCUUCUGACUUGUUGCUGAUGGAAUUCCCAGUUAGAAACCUGGUUCAACCUGAUUCUCGCCUUAUCUUCUUUGUAUUUUUCAAAAGGUAGCCCCCAGGGUCUCCCCGCGGUCGGGUUAAAGUUUGAUGGUGGACACUUGGUGACUCAGCUCUACUCCACCUUUUCUUGUAAAGUGUCUUGAAUUCUGCUCUUAUUCUAGUGAUGGGUAUCUCAUUGCGUGUUGCUUUGUAACUUGUUUACAAUGUCACCUAUAUAAUGACUUUUCAUAUAUGGAUGUGAGAGUUGGACUGUGAAGAAAGCUGAGCGCCAAAGA
RNAcentral lists this long non-coding RNA (2021 nucleotides) under Capra hircus (goat). Its description in RNAcentral is "lncRNA (ENSCHIG00010012868.1)". Lineage: Eukaryota; Metazoa; Chordata; Mammalia; Artiodactyla; Bovidae. The record is from RNAcentral.